Molecule: ribosomal RNA, 1343 nt
Filed under: uncultured bacterium
Lineage: Bacteria
Description: 16S ribosomal RNA
Rfam family: Bacterial small subunit ribosomal RNA
Source: RNAcentral
GACGAACGCUUGCGGCGUGCUUAACACAUGCAAGUCGAACGGAAAGGCCCUGCUUUUGUGGGGUGCUCGAGUGGCGAACGGGUGAGUAACACGUGAGUAACCUGCCCUUGACUUUGGGAUAACUUCAGGAAACUGGGGCUAAUACCGGAUAGGAGCUCCUGCUGCAUGGUGGGGGUUGGAAAGUUUCGGCGGUUGGGGAUGGACUCGCGGCUUAUCAGCUUGUUGGUGGGGUAGUGGCUUACCAAGGCUUUGACGGGUAGCCGGCCUGAGAGGGUGACCGGCCACAUUGGGACUGAGAUACGGCCCAGACUCCUACGGGAGGCAGCAGUGGGGAAUACUGCACAAUGGGCGGAAGCCUGAUGCAGCAACGCCGCGUGCGGGAUGACGGCCUUCGGGUUGUAAACCGCUUUCGCCUGUGACGAAGCGUGAGUGACGGUAAUGGGUAAAGAAGCACCGGCUAACUACGUGCCAGCAGCCGCGGUGAUACGUAGGGUGCGAGCGUUGUCCGGAUUUAUUGGGCGUAAAGGGCUCGUAGGUGGUUGAUCGCGUCGGAAGUGUAAUCUUGGGGCUUAACCCUGAGCGUGCUUUCGAUACGGGUUGACUUGAGGAAGGUAGGGGAGAAUGGGAUUCCUGGUGGAGCGGUGGAAUGCGCAGAUAUCAGGAGGAACACCAGUGGCGAAGGCGGUUCUCUGGGCCUUUCCUGACGCUGAGGAGCGAAAGCGUGGGGAGCGAACAGGCUUAGAUACCCUGGUAGUCCACGCUGUAAACGGUGGGUACUAGGUGUGGGGUCCAUUCCACGGGUUCCGUGCCGUAGCUAACGCUUUAAGUACCCCGCCUGGGGAGUACGGCCGCAAGGCUAAAACUCAAAGGAAUUGACGGGGCCCCGCACAAGCGGCGGAGCAUGCGGAUUAAUUCGAUGCAACGCGUAGAACCUUACCUGGGUUUGACAUGGAUCGGGAGUGCUCAGAGAUGGGUGUGCCUCUUUUGGGGUCGGUUCACAGGUGGUGCAUGCCUGUCGUCAGCUCGUGUCGUGAGAUGUUGGGUUAAGUCCCGCAACGAGCGCAACCCUUGUUCACUGUUGCCAGCACGUUAUGGUGGGGACUCAGUGGAGACCGCCGGGGUCAACUCGGAGGAAGGUGGGGAUGACGUCAAGUCAUCAUGCCCCUUAUGUCCAGGGCUUCACGCAUGCUACAAUGGCUGGUACAGAGAGUGGCGAGCCUGUGAGGGUGAGCGAAUCUCGGAAAGCCGGUCUCAGUUCGGAUUGGGGUCUGCAACUCGACCUCAUGAAGUCGGAGUCGCUAGUAAUCGCAGAUCAGCAACGCUGCGGUGAAUACGUUCCCGGG